AUUGAACGCUGGCGGCAGGCCUAACACAUGCAAGUCGAACGGUAACAGGAAACAGCUUGCUGUUUCGCUGACGAGUGGCGGACGGGUGAGUAAUGUCUGGGAAACUGCCUGAUGGAGGGGGAUAACUACUGGAAACGGUAGCUAAUACCGCAUAACGUCGCAAGACCAAAGAGGGGGACCUUCGGGCCUCUUGCCAUCGGAUGUGCCCAGAUGGGAUUAGCUAGUAGGUGGGGUAACGGCUCACCUAGGCGACGAUCCCUAGCUGGUCUGAGAGGAUGACCAGCCAAACUGGAACUGAGACACGGUCCAGACUCCUACGGGAGGCAGCAGUGGGGAAUAUUGCACAAUGGGCGCAAGCCUGAUGCAGCCAUGCCGCGUGUAUGAAGAAGGCCUUCGGGUUGUAAAGUACUUUCAGCGGGGAUGAAGGGAGUAAAGUUAAUACCUUUGCUCAUUGACGUUACCCGCAGAAGAAGCACCGGCUAACUCCGU
Molecule: ribosomal RNA, 489 nt
Filed under: uncultured bacterium
Lineage: Bacteria
Description: partial 16S ribosomal RNA
Rfam family: Bacterial small subunit ribosomal RNA
Source: RNAcentral